GAUGAACGCUGGCGGCGUGCUUAACACAUGCAAGUCGAACGGAAAGGCUCUUGCUUGUAGGGGUACUCGAGUGGCGAACGCGUGAGUAACACGUGUGUAUUCUGCCCUGCACUUCGGUAUAAGCCUGGGUAGCUGGGUCUAAUAUCGGAUAGGACGAUGGUUUCGAUGCCAUUCUGGAAAGUUUUUCGGUGUGGGAUGAUCUCGCGGCCUAUCAGCUUGUUGGUGGGGUAAUGGCAUACCAAGGCGUCGACGGGUAGCCGGCCUGUGAGGGUGUACGGGCACAAUAGGACUGAGAGACGGACCAGACUCGUACGGGAGGCAGCAGUGGGGAGUAUUGCACAAUGGGCGUGAGCCUGAUACGGAGACGCCGCGUGGGGGAUGACGGCCUUCGGGUUGUAAACUCCUUUCGCUAGGGACGAAGCGCAAGUGACGGUACCUGGAGAAGAAGCACCGGCUAACUACGUG
This 465-nucleotide ribosomal RNA is filed under the name uncultured bacterium. Its description in RNAcentral is "partial 16S ribosomal RNA". It matches the Rfam family "Bacterial small subunit ribosomal RNA", at positions 28 to 507 of the family's 1533-position model. The record is from RNAcentral.